This 253-nucleotide ribosomal RNA is filed under the name uncultured bacterium. RNAcentral's name for it is "partial 16S ribosomal RNA". It matches the Rfam family "Bacterial small subunit ribosomal RNA", at positions 524 to 776 of the family's 1533-position model. The record is from RNAcentral.
UACGUAGGGGGCAAGCGUUGUCCGGAAUCAUUGGGCGUAAAGCGCGUGUAGGCGGUUUCGUAAGUCUGCUGUGAAAGCCGGAGGCUCAACCUUCGAAAGCCGGUGGAUACUGUGAGACUUGAGUACGGAAGAGGAGAGUGGAAUUCCUGGUGUAGCGGUGAAAUGCGCAGAUAUCAGGAGGAACACCAACGGCGAAGGCAGCUCUCUGGGACGUUACUGACGCUGAGACGCGAAAGCGUGGGGAGCAAACAGG